RNAcentral lists this ribosomal RNA (497 nucleotides) under uncultured bacterium. RNAcentral describes it as "partial 16S ribosomal RNA". It matches the Rfam family "Bacterial small subunit ribosomal RNA", at positions 28 to 507 of the family's 1533-position model. The record is from RNAcentral.
GACGAACGCUGGCGGCGUGCCUAAUACAUGCAAGUAGAACGCUGAAGAGAGGAGCUUGCUCUUCUUGGAUGAGUUGCGCACGGGUGAGUAACGCGUAGGUAACCUGCCUUGUAGCGGGGGAUAACUAUUGGAAACGAUAGCUAAUACCGCAUAACAAUGGAUGACCCAUGUCAUUUAUUUGAAAGGGGCAAAUGCUCCACUACAAGAUAGACCUGCGUUGUAUUAGCUAGUAGGUGAGGUAACGGCUCACCUAGGCGACGAUACAUAGCCGACCUGAGAGGGUGAUCGGCCACACUGGGACUGAGACACGGCCCAGACUCCUACGGGAGGCAGCAGUAGGGAAUCUUCGGCAAUGGGGGCAACCCUGACCGAGCAACGCCGCGUGAGUGAAGAAGGUUUUCGGAUCGUAAAGCUCUGUUGUAAGUCAAGAACGAGUGUGAGAGUGGAAAGUUCACACUGUGACGGUAGCUUACCAGAAAGGGACGGCUAACUACGUG